Molecule: ribosomal RNA, 377 nt
Filed under: uncultured Anaerolineae bacterium
Lineage: Bacteria; Bacillati; Chloroflexota; Anaerolineae
Description: bacterial SSU rRNA
Rfam family: Bacterial small subunit ribosomal RNA
Source: RNAcentral
UAACACGUAGGAGGCGAGCGUUAUCCGGAUUUACUGGGUGUAAAGCGCGUGCAGGCGGUUUGAUAAGUUGGAUGUGAAAGCUCCCGGCUCAACUGGGAGAGGUCGUUCAAAACUAUCAGACUAGAGAGUGAGAGAGGAAGAUGGAAUUCCCGGUGUAGUGGUGAAAUGCGUAGAUAUCGGGAGGAACACCAGUGGCGAAGGCGGUCUUCUGGCUCAUUUCUGACGCUAAGACGCGAAAGCUAGGGUAGCAAACGGGAUUAGAGACCCCGGUAGUCCUAGCCGUAAACGAUGUGAACUUGGCGUCGGUGGUGUAAAAACCAUCGGUGCCGUAGCUAACGCGAUAAGUUCACCACCUGGGAACUACGGCCGCAAGGUUA